Cherax quadricarinatus is the source of this 585-nucleotide non-coding RNA. NCBI's taxonomy places the organism in Eukaryota, Metazoa, Arthropoda, Malacostraca, Decapoda, Parastacidae. The record is from RefSeq and is a predicted model, not a curated record.
AAAAUUGCAUAAUUAACAGGAAAUCCAUGACCAAAGUACAUAUUUAUGCUAUGGUAAUACGUAGACAGUGGAGACAGGAUAGUCACAGUUCUAUGUGCCACCUCAGGUCUGACUGACAGAACGUAUUGGAUUGACGUGAGUGACCAAGACUCUGAGGGGGACUGGCGCACUUCCUCAGGUCUGUCUAUACCCAUGGGUACACCAUUCUGGAAGGCGGAUACUGAAUUCCAGGAGCCAAAUAACGUUAAAAAUUAUGAAAUUGCUUGGAGAUGAACAAUAAAUAUUCAUUUUUCAUGAAUGAUAUUGGCUGCUCUGAUCUGUUGUCGCUAAUAUGUGAACAACCACCACAAGAUACUGCAAACCACAACAUGACAGCAGUAGCAGCAGUGCAGAGGUGCAGGACUAUCCCUCCUUUGUGAGUGUGGGCGGCCUCUGUCUCUCCUUCAUGACGUGGGUGGAAGAGUCGUGGGAGGAGUCACGUCAGGCUUGUCAUGGCUUGUCAGGGGAGCUGGCUGCUGUUACUGACAUUGAACAACUGAGAGCUAUAUACCUGUACCUGCACCAGGAAGGGAUCGCUGGUCAUUC